CUACGGGACGCUCCAGUAGGGAAUAUUGGACAAUGGGGGCAACCCUGAUCCAGCGAUGCCGCGUGUGUGAAGAAGGCCUACGGGUUGUAAAGCACUUUCAGUAGGGAGGAAGAGGUACGCUUGAAUAAAGUGUAUUGAAGACGUUACCUACAGAAGCAGCACCGGCUAACUCUGUGGCCAGCAGCCGCGGUAAUACAGAGGGUGCAAGCGUUAAUCGGACUGACUGGGCGUAAAGGGCUUGUAGGUGGUGAAUCAAGUUAGAUUUGAAAGAUCCGGGCUUAACCUGGAGGAGUGAUCUAAGACUGAGUGACUAGAGAACAGUAGAGGGAAGCGGAAUUUCCGGUGUAGCGGUGAAAUGCGUAGAGAUCGGAAGGAACACCAGUGGCGAAGGCGGCUUUCUGGACUGAUUCUGACACUGAGGAGCGAAAGCGUGGGUAGCGAACAGGAUUAGAUACCCUUGUAGUC
This 465-nucleotide ribosomal RNA is filed under the name uncultured bacterium. RNAcentral describes it as "partial 16S ribosomal RNA". It matches the Rfam family "Bacterial small subunit ribosomal RNA", at positions 339 to 795 of the family's 1533-position model. The record is from RNAcentral.